GACGAACGCUGGCGGCGUGCUUAACACAUGCAAGUCGAACGGAAAGGCCCUGCUUUUGUGGGGUGCUCGAGUGGCGAACGGGUGAGUAACACGUGAGUAACCUGCCCUUGACUUUGGGAUAACUUCAGGAAACUGGGGCUAAUACCGGAUAGGAGCUCCUGCUGCAUGGUGGGGGUUGGAAAGUUUCGGCGGUUGGGGAUGGACUCGCGGCUUAUCAGCUUGUUGGUGGGGUAGUGGCUUACCAAGGCUUUGACGGGUAGCCGGCCUGAGAGGGUGACCGGCCACAUUGGGACUGAGAUACGGCCCAGACUCCUACGGGAGGCAGCAGUGGGGAAUAUUGCACAAUGGGCGGAAGCAGGAUGCAGCAACGCCGCGUGCGGGAUGACGGCCUUCGGGUUGUAAACCGCUUUCGCCUGUGACGAAGCGUGAGUGACGGUAAUGGGGAAAGAAGCACCGGCUAACUACGU
RNAcentral lists this ribosomal RNA (467 nucleotides) under uncultured bacterium. RNAcentral describes it as "partial 16S ribosomal RNA". It matches the Rfam family "Bacterial small subunit ribosomal RNA", at positions 28 to 506 of the family's 1533-position model. The record is from RNAcentral.